UUUUGUCUCAACAAAAUUGACAAAAUUGACAAAAUUGAUUUUUGUCUCAACAAAAUUGACAAAAUUGACUUUUGUCUCAACAAAAUUAACAAAAUUGACUUUUGUCUCAACAAAAUUGACCAAAUCAAAUUUUGUCUCACAAAAGUUAAUUUUGUCUCACAAAAGUUAGUUUUGUCUCACAAAAGUCAAUUUUGUCUCACUAAAGUAAAUUUUGUCUCACAAAAUUGAAUCUUAUCUCACACAAUUGACUUUUGUGAUUUAAUUUCAAUAUCAGGUAACAAAAGUCAAUUUUG
Molecule: long non-coding RNA, 293 nt
Filed under: Mytilus galloprovincialis (Mediterranean mussel)
Lineage: Eukaryota; Metazoa; Mollusca; Bivalvia; Mytilida; Mytilidae
Source: RNAcentral